This 466-nucleotide ribosomal RNA is filed under the name uncultured Sphingomonadales bacterium. Its description in RNAcentral is "bacterial SSU rRNA". It matches the Rfam family "Bacterial small subunit ribosomal RNA", at positions 1 to 507 of the family's 1533-position model. The record is from RNAcentral. Lineage: Bacteria; Pseudomonadati; Pseudomonadota; Alphaproteobacteria; Sphingomonadales.
AGGUAGUUUUGACUCCUGGUCACGAGAACGACGCCUUGGCGGGCAUGCCUAACACAUGCAAGUCGAACGAACCCUUCGGGGUUAGUGGCGCACGGGUGCGUAACGCGUGGGAAUCUGCCCUUUUGCUUCGGAAUUAACAUUAGAAAUGACUGCUAAUACCGGAUGAUGUCUUCGGACCAAAGAUUUUAUCGGCAAAGGAUGAGCCCGCGUAGGAUUAGGUAGUUGGUGGGGUAAAGGCCUACCAAGCCGACGAUCCUUUAGCUGGUCUGAGAGGAUGAUCAGCCACACUGGGACUGAGACACGGCCCCAGACUCCUACGGGAGGGCAGCAGCGGGGAAUAUUGGACAAUGGACGCAAGUCUGAUCCAGCAAUGCCGCGUGAGUGAUGAAGGCCUUAGGGUUGUAAAGCUCUUUUACCAGGGAUGAUAAUGACAGUACCUGGAGAAUAAGCUCCGGCUAACUCCGUG